CUCCCAUUGCGCAUGCGCGCGCCCGGGCGGCGCGGGAUCUGGGUCUGGGGAUGUGGUACCGGCUGCUGGCGGCGGCCGGCAGUAGAGCGGUGGCCAGGCCGCUGGCCUUGCUGUGGCGAUGUGGUGGCCCAGGAGGCGGCAGGACGGCCAAGACCAGCGCGAGGGCCCUGGGCAAGGCCCGACAGGGUUUGAGAAAUACUUUAAGAGGAGUGGAAGGAACACAAACUGAGAAACAUCAACAGCACCAAAAAAAGAGACUGGUGAACUAGAGAAUGCUGAGUCUGGAGGAGACGGAGGCAGGAGAGGAGGGAAGCAGGAUAACGUUGCCUGGUGGAGGCGGAUGCAGAAGGGGGGACUUCCCCUGGGAUGACGAGGAUUUCCGCAGUCUGGCCCUUUUGGGGGCAGGCGUUGCCAUGGGAUUUUUCUACCUCUAUUUUCGAGAUCCUGGAAGAGAAAUCACGUGGAAGCACUUUGUACAGUAUUACCUGGCCAGAGGUCUGGUGGACCGGCUGGAAGUCGUGAACAAACAAUCUGUGCGUGUUAUUCCUGCCCCUGGGACCUCUUCUGAAGGAGCCAUGCUCACUGGUCCUCCUGGUACCGGCAAGACCCUUCUUGCCAAAGCAACUGCAGGGGAGGCCACUGUGCCCUUCAUCACUGUGAACGGGUCUGAGUUCCUGGAAAUGUUUAUUGGCGUUGGGCCAGCAAGGGGUUCAACUCUGCCACCAACGUCGUGGUGUUGGCUGGCACCAACCGCCCUGACGUCCUGGACCCGGCCCUCAUGCGGCCUGGCCGGUUUCAUCGCCAGAUUUACACUGGUCCCCCUUACAUUAAAGGCAGGUCCUCCAUCUUUAAGGUCCACCUGCGCCCACUGAAGCUGGACAAGAGCCUCAAUAAGGACACCCUGGCGAGGAAGCUGGCAGUGCUCACCCCAGGCUUCCCUGACGGGGAUGACUCAGCACUACCCCUCAACAGAGAUGACUUUGAUGACUCUGCCCCUCAGCAGGGCUUACUAAGCACUACCCCUUAACAGGGAUGACUCCGCACUGCCCCUCAACAGGGAUGACUCAGCAGAGAUGACUCAGCACUGUCCCUUAGCAGGGAUGACACAGCAAGGAUGACUCAGCACUGCCCCUCAGCAAGGAUGACUCAGCACUGCCGCUCAACAGACAUGACUCAGGGAUGGCUUAGUACUGCCCCUCAGCAGGGAUGACUCAGCACCGCCUCUCAACAGGGAUGACUCAGCAGGGAUGACUCAGCACCGCCCCUCAACAGGCAUGACUCUGCAGAGAUGACUCAGCACUGUCCCUUAGCAGGGAUGACACAGCAAGGAUGACUCAGCACUGCCCCUCAGCAAGGAUGACUCAGCACUGCCGCUCAACAGGGAUGACUCAGGGAUGGCUUAGUACUGCCCCUCAACAGGGAUGACUCAGCAGGGAUGACUCAGCACCGCCCCUCAACAGGCAUGACUCUGCAGAGAUGACUUAGUACUGCCCCUCAGCAGGGAUGACUCAGUACUGCCCCUCAGCAGGGAUGACUCAGCACUGCCCCUCAACAGGGAUGACUCAGCAGGGAUGACUCAGCACUGUCCCUUAGCAGUGAUGACACAGCAAGGAUGACUCAGCACUGCCCCUCAGCAAGGAUGACUCAGCACUGCCGCUCAACAGACAUGACUCAGGGAUGGCUUAGUACUGCCCCUCAGCAGGGAUGACUCAGCACCGCCCCUCAACAGGGAUGACUCAGCACUGCCCCUCAACAGGGAUGACUCAGCAGGGAUGACUCAGCAGUGUCCCUUAGCAGCGAUGACACAGCAAGGAUGACUCAGCACUGCCCCUCACCAAGGAUGACUCAGCACUGCCGCUCAACAGACAUGACUCAGGGAUGGCUUAGUACUGCCCCUCAGCAGGGAUGACUCAGCAGGGAUGACUCAGCACCACCCCUCAACAGGGAUGACUCAGCAGGGAUGACUCAGCACUGCCCCUCAACAGGGAUGACUGCAGGGAUGACUCAGCACUGCCCCUCAGCAGGGAUGACUCAGCACUGCCCCUCAGCAGGGAUGACUCAGCAGGGAUGACUCAGCACCGCCCCUCAACAGGCAUGACUCUGCAGAGAUGACUCAGCACUGCCCCUCAGCAGGGAUGGCUCAGCAGGGAUGACUCAGCAUUGCCCCUCAACAGGGAUGACUCAGCAGACUCAGCAGGGAUGACUCAGCACUGCCCCUCAACAGACAUGACUCAGCAGGGAUGACUCAGCACCGCCCCUCAGCAAGGAUGACUCAGCAGGGAUGAUUCAGCAGAGAUAACUCGGGGAUGACUCUGAUUGUCCUUCAGCAGGGAUGAGUCUGUUUUGCUCCGAUGGAAGCAUCUGUAGUGUCCAUCAGCAGGUGAAUGGCCAAAGUGGUAUAUACUGUAGUCACAUUCAGCUAUAAAAAGGAAUAAAGUAUCGAUGCAUGCCACAACAUGGGUGAACCUAGAAAAUACUGAUCUAAAUGCAAGAAGCCAGGCACAAAAGGCCACAUAGUAUAUGUUCCCAUUUAUGUGAAAUGUGCAGAAUAAUAAUAAAAAUGUAUAGAAUAGCAAAUCUGUAGGGACAGACAUGAGGUGAGUGGUUGCCAGAAGUGGAAAUGGGAGUUAACUAUAAAUUGCACAGGGUACCUUACAGAGAUGAUGGAAAUGUCCUAAAACUAGAUUAUGGCAAUAGUUGCACUACGUGAUCAGUUUAUUAAAAAUCGUUGAUGUGUGUGUGUAAAAUGGGUGGAUUUUAUGGUUUAUAAAUUAUACCUUAAUAAAGGUUAACAAAAAA
This is a long non-coding RNA of Homo sapiens (human), 2799 nucleotides long. Ensembl annotates it as AFG3 like matrix AAA peptidase subunit 1, pseudogene. Its record names the gene AFG3L1P. Lineage: Eukaryota; Metazoa; Chordata; Mammalia; Primates; Hominidae. The record is from Ensembl.